This 253-nucleotide ribosomal RNA is filed under the name uncultured bacterium. RNAcentral's name for it is "partial 16S ribosomal RNA". It matches the Rfam family "Bacterial small subunit ribosomal RNA", at positions 524 to 776 of the family's 1533-position model. The record is from RNAcentral.
UACGGAGGGUGCGAGCGUUGUCCGGAAUCACUGGGCGUAAAGGGCGCGUAGGCGGCGCGGAUAGUCGGCGGUGAAAGCCCGGAGCUCAACUCCGGAUCGGCCGUGGCGACUCGUGGGCUGGAGCACUGUAGAGGCGGGUGGAAUUCCGGGUGUAGCGGUGGAAUGCGUAGAGAUCCGGAAGAACACCAGUGGCGAAGGCGGACCCGCUGGCAGUGGCUGACGCUGAAGCGCGACAGCGUGGGGAGCAAACAGG